Acanthosepion pharaonis is the source of this 98-nucleotide non-coding RNA. The record is from the annotation of a GenBank genome assembly. NCBI's taxonomy places the organism in Eukaryota, Metazoa, Mollusca, Cephalopoda, Sepiida, Sepiidae.
GUUAAAACACCAGUUCCCGUGCGAUCACUGAAGUUAAGCAACAUCGUGCCUGGUCAGUACCUAGUUGAGUGAUCACUUGGAAUACUAGAAGUUGUAAG